This 278-nucleotide ribosomal RNA is filed under the name uncultured Bacteroides sp. RNAcentral's name for it is "partial 16S ribosomal RNA". It matches the Rfam family "Bacterial small subunit ribosomal RNA", at positions 65 to 339 of the family's 1533-position model. Lineage: Bacteria; Pseudomonadati; Bacteroidota; Bacteroidia; Bacteroidales; Bacteroidaceae. The record is from RNAcentral.
AGGGGCAGCGGGGAGUAGCAAUACUCCGCCGGCGACCGGCGCACGGGUGCGUAACGCGUAUGCAACCUGCCGAUAACUCGGGGAUAGCCUUUCGAAAGAAAGAUUAAUACAAGAUGGCAUCAUGAGUCCGCAUGUUCACAUGAUUAAAGGUAUUCCGGUAGACGAUGGGGAUGCGUUCCAUUAGAUAGUAGGCGGGGUAACGGCCCACCUAGUCUUCGAUGGAUAGGGGUUCUGAGAGGAAGGUCCCCACAUUGGAACUGAGACACGGUCCAAACUCC